ACGAGUUCAAAAGUCGGUCGACCGUGCUGGCGGAGACGCAAGUGCACGUCGGUCGCGAACCAUCCACACACCCGUGAACCUAUGGCCUGCGGAGUCUUUACGGACUCGGGGCAACUUUUUUUUCACACUCUGUUCGUAAAGGAAUGUCUAUAAACGCGUAAAGCAAA
Molecule: unclassified non-coding RNA, 167 nt
Filed under: uncultured Sebacinaceae
Lineage: Eukaryota; Fungi; Basidiomycota; Agaricomycetes; Sebacinales; Sebacinaceae
Description: sequence contains ITS1
Source: RNAcentral